This 77-nucleotide transfer RNA is filed under the name SAR324 cluster bacterium. RNAcentral's name for it is "tRNA-His". It matches the Rfam family "tRNA". From Rfam's summary of the family: Transfer RNA (tRNA) molecules are approximately 80 nucleotides in length. Their secondary structure includes four short double-helical elements and three loops (D, anti-codon, and T loops). The record is from RNAcentral. Lineage: Bacteria; Deltaproteobacteria.
GCGAAUGUAGCUCAGGUGGUUAGAGUGUCGGAUUGUGGCUCCGGAAGCCGCGGGUUCAAGUCCCGUCAUUCGCCCCA